CAAGGUCAACUUCGUAUUCCAGGAUUCUGACAAACACCUAUUGAGGGGUCAGCCAUGAUCUUCAAAACUUUGAUGGACCAAUGGCGAGCCGGAGGAGAACAGAUGCAGAGUUCCACAACGCAGGCACAAGGGGCACAACCGACACGCGACUGGCAAGAAUCGGCACACAAGCAUUCCAACAAAUGUAUUCACGGAUCUUCCCUGGUAUGUCCUAAAUACAAAUAAGAAUACUUUUUUUUUAACUAAUCACAAUCAGGGGGGAAAAAAUCCUGUACGUUUGUUUUUCAUGUUGAAUAGUUCCGAGUACAAAAGGGUUUUCGUAAUGUUUUUUUUUUUCAUUUCAAAAAACUAUUAUACUUUUAAUACGGAAUGAUAUUAAAAAAAAUAGUAACCGGAAUCCUCAAAAUAUUCGGAAAAAAUCUCCGCAUGGAAAAUUCUUUGAAUCAACUCUCUUGAUGAGUGGAGUUGCAUUUAUUGUUAACUGACAAACCCUCAGAGCUAAACAUUUGUUUGCUAUUUUUAAAAUAAGUUGACGCAGGUUUUUUAAAUUUAUUUUUAAAAUAAGGAGUUUACGAUACAAUCGCUUAGACUACAAAAAAAACGCACAAAAAGAAUUUAUGAAUUUGCAAAUUAUUGUACUAUUAUGAAAUAUUCAGUUAGCGUUUGCAAAAAGAUUUUCUCAGCAAGUUCAAUUCUUAUUCAACUACUGUUGUUAUGAUC
This is a long non-coding RNA of Bacillus rossius redtenbacheri, 720 nucleotides long. RefSeq lists it as uncharacterized. Lineage: Eukaryota; Metazoa; Arthropoda; Insecta; Phasmatodea; Bacillidae. The transcript is spliced from 3 exons. The record is from RefSeq and is a predicted model, not a curated record.